This 204-nucleotide long non-coding RNA is filed under the name Propithecus coquereli (Coquerel's sifaka). Its description in RNAcentral is "DAOA antisense RNA 1 conserved region 2 (ENSPCOG00000001814.1)". It matches the Rfam family "DAOA antisense RNA 1 conserved region 2". The record is from RNAcentral. Lineage: Eukaryota; Metazoa; Chordata; Mammalia; Primates; Indriidae.
UUGAGAAAGAGUGGCUGGGGUAGCACAUCUCUCCAGCCACGAACUAUUUCUUCCCCAGGGCAGUGUUUCCCAAUUAUGCUUUCCUGUCAUCAUCGCCUCCUUCUUGUCUGAGCUCAUCAACGUUGCAGCCAAAUUACUGUGCUGCUAAGUCACUGGGAAAAUCAGGACCCCACACCAAGAUGAUCAUCUCAGAAAUGUACAAAA